Molecule: long non-coding RNA, 1036 nt
Filed under: Physcomitrium patens
Lineage: Eukaryota; Viridiplantae; Streptophyta; Bryopsida; Funariales; Funariaceae
Description: long non-coding RNA (PPAT_LNC001539)
Source: RNAcentral
AAUUACACGAUGUGACAUGCGCGACGAAUACAAAUAACCAUGCUUGUUAAGAUACUUGAGUAUCAAUCGCCAAGAGUUCCGAGUCAGUUGGGGACGAAUUAACCCGAGAAAACCAGUCCUCAAUUGUAACAUAGAUUUUUCCUAAUCGUUGGCGGCUCCUUAUCAGCUUGUCAGUGUAUCGAAUUUCUCGCACUGACCUCAGAUUUCACUUCACUCUCCCCACAGUCUCGACCUUUUCGAUGACCCAGCUUUCUUCCAUCCUAUCGCCUUUUCGCAGUUGGUGCAGGGUCUUGCAAAGUUUGCAGCGCAGGCUCUCAUUUUCUAGACCAAACGAAGGUGUCAGUUCCAGUGGUCGUAAUAAAUUCCCGUAAGCUAUCAGGUAGGACUGUCUCCUCGUCCCAAACCCAGUUCGCCGAAGGGACGGAGUUUUAUCACUGUCGCGAUCGUCCUCUACCAUUCCGAGGAGGUUUCGUUGAUAUCCGGGAAAUUUCAUCCUGGAAACAUAUCUGGGUAGUAGCGAAAGAGAGAGAAAUGAGCACAAAUUUUGAGUGCACAGAAGGUAUGGCAGUGCUCUUUGUCCAACACAGCAUUCCACUAAGAAGGCUCAAAACUGAAACGAUUCUGCCAAUUCGUGCAUGAAGGAGAUUCUUAUCGUGGAGAAAUUCGCUCCCCUCGAAAGUCUCCGAAAUCACGGUUGAAGACGACCUGUCCGUGCUCGAUGUUUGAUCCGGACCGCAGACCAGACCGCGAUACGCGUUGGUGGAUGGACUGUCAACCUCACAUCCGCGCCCUUAGGGAAGUCAUGUACUCAGCCGACGCGAACAAAGAAGUGGAGAUACUCUUGCACAAGUGUGUCUCUGUACAUGGCCACGAUCAACUAUAAUUCGUCGCUUGACAAUGAGAAGAUUUACAUUGCUCUCACAGGUUGAACGAGUCGCCCCGCUCUCAUUGCGAUCAUUUCUCUGUACCCUCUUGUAUGCGAUAUUUGUUCAGAACGUCACGAGUUUGCGUAAUUUGUUCAGAACUUCUGAACUUU